CGGAGGAAAAGAAACCAACAGGGAUUGCCCUAGUAACGGCGAGUGAAGCGGCAACAGCUCAAAUUUGAAAUCUGGCGUCUUUGGCGUCCGAGUUGUAAUUUGCAGAGGGCGCUUUGGCAUUGGCAGCGGUCCAAGUUCCUUGGAACAGGACGUCACAGAGGGUGAGAAUCCCGUACGUGGUCGCUAGCCUUUACCGUGUAAAGCCCCUUCGACGAGUCGAGUUGUUUGGGAAUGCAGCUCUAAAUGGGAGGUAAAUUUCUUCUAAAGCUAAAUACUGGCCAGAGACCGAUAGCGCACAAGUAGAGUGAUCGAAAGAUGAAAAGCACUUUGGAAAGAGAGUUAAAAAGCACGUGAAAUUGUUGAAAGGGAAGCGCUUGCAGCCAGACUUGCCUGUAGUUGCUCAUCCGGGUUUUUACCCGGUGCACUCUUCUACGGGCAGGCCAGCAUCAGUUUGGGCGGUUGGAUAAAGGUCUCUGUCAUGUACCUCCUCUCGGGGAGAACUUAUAGGGGAGACGACAUGCAACCAGCCCGGACUGAGGUCCGCGCAUCUGCUAGGAUGCUGGCGUAAUGGCUGUAAGCGGCCCGUCUUGAAACACGGACCAAGGAGUCUAACAUCUAUGCGAGUGUUUGGGUGUCAAGCCCGAGCGCGUAAUGAAAGUGAACGGAGGUGGGAACCUUUCGGGGUGCACCAUCGACCGAUCCUGAUGUCUUCGGAUGGAUUUGAGUAAGAGCAUAGCUGUUGGGACCCGAAAGAUGGUGAACUAUGCUUGAAUAGGGUGAAGCCAGAGGAAACUCUGGUGGAGGCUCGCAGCGGUUCUGACGUGCAAAUCGAUCGUCAAAUUUGGGCAUAGGGGCGAAAGACUAAUCGAACUAUCUAGUAGCUGGU
This 886-nucleotide ribosomal RNA is filed under the name Epicoccum sorghinum. RNAcentral describes it as "partial large subunit ribosomal RNA". It matches the Rfam family "Eukaryotic large subunit ribosomal RNA", at positions 51 to 955 of the family's 3401-position model. The record is from RNAcentral. Lineage: Eukaryota; Fungi; Ascomycota; Dothideomycetes; Pleosporales; Didymellaceae.